RNAcentral lists this long non-coding RNA (3566 nucleotides) under Homo sapiens (human). RNAcentral's name for it is "HSALNT0236930". Lineage: Eukaryota; Metazoa; Chordata; Mammalia; Primates; Hominidae. The record is from RNAcentral.
UCCUUCAGAAGCUUCUUCUUGGCUUCUUCCAGACUUUCAAUUGUUCCCAGGUCGUCAUCUACUUUCUUCUUGGUAUCAGCCAACUAGGUUUUGUGUACGGACAAACAGAAAGCUCAGUAUUAAUGUACUCAAUUGGGGCCAGGCAUGGUGGCUCACGCCUGUAAUCCCAGCACUUUGGGAGGCCGAGGCGGCAGGAUCACUUGAGGUCAGGAGUUUGAGACCAGCCAGGCCAACAUAGUGAAACCUCAUCUCUACUAAAAAUACAAAAAUCGCCUGUCUGUAGUCUCGGCUACUGGGGAGGCUCAGGUGGGAGGAUCACUUGAGCCCAGGAGGUGGAGGCUGCAGUGAGCUGAGAUCACGCCACUGCACUCCAGCCUGGGCGACAAAGUGAGACUCUAUCUCAAGGAAAAAAAAAAAAGAACUCAAUUGGUUUUUGCCUUUGAAGAAAAAAAAAACCUUUUGUUUUUAAUAUUUUGAGAGAAGAAAAAUCAAUACUGUGAUUUUAAAACAAAUGAGUCUUAGACUGUCACUUAAUUUCUUAGCUAAUAGUCCAUAAAAUGAUGACUGGAUUGAAAUCUUACAUCGUUGACACAGUCCUAGGUCCUUAUUUUAAGGGCUUCCAGCAUUAUAACCAGCAUGUGGCUGGGUCAAGAAAAACCAUUUAAUGGGCUUAAUUUAGUACGACCUAAUUAACUGUCCCAAAUGGAGCUGAGACAGCCCAGCACAGCAGGGCCAGGAUCUGCUGAAGGCACACAUCGAGGCCACCGCGGCCUCCUAAAGAGGACGCACACCUGGGACUGCAGGGCCAGCACUUGCUUCUCCAGGUUCUUCCUGGCCUCCUCCUCCUCCUCCUGCUGCUCCUGAAGACUGUUCUUCUCCUCUUCCAGCUGCCGGAUCCGACUGCUCAGGUUUAGUUUCUGGCGUGUCUCCUCCUGAAGAAGCUCCUGUGUUUUUUUUUUAAAGGGCAACACUUCCAUUACAUUUAUCACCAAAACAAAUACACCUGUAUUAAAGAAUUCAUGUCGUACAAAAGAGACAGCCUCAAUGCAUGAGAACGCCCAGUGACAUUAACAAACACAGAUGAUUUAAAAACACACACGAUAACUUUGUAAAAGCUCUUCACACCAACACUGCUUCAGACUCAUCUCUGAAAAACGAAUGGCGGCGCCAUCCACCCAGGGGCCCAGGCUGGAGCCUCCAGGCAUCCCCGAGGCCUCCCCUCCUGCGUCCCCCACCACACCCCGCCUCUCCUCAGUCACGCCUGGAAUCCCUUCCUCUCCACCCCCUGCCCCGUCUUAGUUCAGGCCCUCAGCCCUUCGAACUAGGAUCACCUCUCCCGUCUUAGGCAUCCCUCAGUUAUCGUCCUUUGUAUUUCCUGCCAGAUUGACUUCUAAAAUAAGGGUGGAGACAUUAUCUAGCUCAUUCUGUAAGGAGCAGAAGAUUAAAUUCAACUCAAUAGUAAGCAAGCAGAAAGGGUCUAGAAACACAGCUUUUAAACAGAACACAGAGAAGAACUCGGCGGGAGUGUGAACCUGAAACUACCCAUUCAGUUAAGGAAGACUCACCACCAAGAGUCUGUUGCCUUCAAACGGAGCUCAAAUAAGUAGGUACUAGAACCUGCCUCCCUGGCCACCUUAAUAGUCUCUACCCAUGAAAAGGACAGGGGGCGGGGGGUCUCCUAACUGGUUUCCUACCUUCUUCUAUUUUUAUCAUGAAGAUACAAAAAUUAAAGCAAAGCCUCUGAAAGAGUGACUGUAUCCUCUGUGGGGAGGCUGAAGGCCAGCAGGUGCUUGAUUUUGGUCCUUCACACGAAUAUGCGUUAACCAUAUGUUUUGGGAGGAAAGUAUAAUUCACAUUCUUAUAGAACUUGAAGCUUCUAUAAAAGGGGUACAAGAAAGUUUUUUUUUUUUUUGAGAUAGUCUCACCCUGUCGCCCUGGCUGGAGUGCAGUGGUGCAAUCUGGGCUCACUGCAACCUUUGCCUCCUGGGUUCAAGCGAUUCUCCUGCCUCAGCCUCCCGAGUGGCUGGGAUUACAGGCGCUUGCUACCGCGCCCGUCUAAUUUUUUGUAUCUUUAGUAGAGACGGGGUUUCACCAUGUUGGCCAGGCUGGUCUCGAACUCCUGACCUCCUGAUCUGCCUGCCCCGGCCUCCCAAAGUGCUGGGAUGACAGAUGUGAGCCACCACACCCGGCUGGAAGUUCUUUUAGGUUUCAAAAAACUGGUAUUAUAUGUUCAUCAUGAAUAUUUAAGCUAUUUCUUAUGGUCAGAUUUAAUUAAUAAUAUUUUUUUCUUCGCAAUUAAUGAUAUUUCUAAAAUAUUUUCCAAACAAAUCUUUGUGGUAUAAGAUGCUUUAUAAUUUUUGACGACAGUGGGUGCUGGGAAGACGCAGAGGGACGCAGAGGGGCAGCAGGGCGCCGUGCGUUCUCGCUAGUCCUCGUCACACCGGCCAAGGGAGAGUGGACGGUGGCACAGCCACAGCAGAGCACAUGCUGUAACGCUUCCAUGGUCACUCUGUUUAGCAACAUCCUUCACAGAGCUCACACUUCAUCAGUCUUGGGAACAGUGUGGUGGGGAAGGGCUCCAAAGUCAAGAGGGACUCCUGCCUUCAGCACCAGCUCUAGAAGUUGCCAGGUAAGUCACCAGAGCGGGCAAGAGCCUUAGCUUCUUUGAGCCUCAGGUUCCUCACCUACCAGAGGGGUUGACUGAGGUUUAAAUGGGGAACAACGUACAUGGGAGCCUAGCACAUGCCUGGUGCAGCACAGGGGACAAGGAACUGUCACUCCCCUCCCUUCCCCGCCGUAGGCAGAGUUCAUAAUGCUGUUUCAGAGAUUUUCUCUUUUAGGAAUAGCUUUCCAGAUUGUGUGUGAGAGCACGCACACAAUAUUUCAGUACCUACACGUUAACACAGCAGGCCGGGACCACCCUCCUUCGAAAGGCCUGCUUGCGAUGUUGACCUUUGGCUGGUGUGUGGGAACUUGAAUUUAGCAAGAGUUCCCACUAUUUCCUGAACAAUAAGGGUGGCUUUUCUCUAAACUGUCCAUGUAAACAAUAUGGUCUAUGUUGAACACCUACGUUUCUUCUGGGAGUCUGCAAUUUGGGUUUAUGCUAGGCAAGAGGUGCCUAUGUAACCAGCCCCUAAUAAAAACCCUGGGGGCCGAGUCUGUAAUGGGCUUCUUGGAAGAAAACAUUUCACGCAUGCUGUCAGGACUCACUGCUGGAGGAAUUAAGCACGUGCUGUGUGACUCCGCUGGGAGAGGACUCCUGGAAGCUUGUUCCUGGUUUCCUCAGCACCUCAGCCCUCGUGCCCUUUCCUUUUACUGAUUUUGCUUUGUAUCUUUUCACUGUAAUAAAUCUUUGCCAUGAGCAGGCCUCUGUGCUGAGUCCUAGAGUCCUGGAGAAUCAUGUACUGUAGUGUGGUCUUGGGCCUCGGACACAAGACAGCUCUGUAAUUCUUUUUCAAUGUGGCAAUAUAGGAUGUACAUCUUUUCUUACCAAUAAGGACUCAUCGACUAUAUUGUUUUUGCUGGUUGCAUAGAAGUCCGUAUUAAACAUUAAAGUUAUUUCCAAC